This 60-nucleotide microRNA precursor is filed under the name Alligator mississippiensis (American alligator). RNAcentral's name for it is "Ami-Mir-17-P4d_pre stem-loop". The record is from RNAcentral. Lineage: Eukaryota; Metazoa; Chordata; Crocodylia; Alligatoridae.
CAAAGUGCUGUUCGUGCAGGUAGUGUGUGCAGCCAUCUACUGCCGGGCAGCACUUCCCGA